This is a long non-coding RNA of Branchiostoma floridae (Florida lancelet), 619 nucleotides long. RefSeq lists it as uncharacterized. The transcript is spliced from 3 exons. The record is from RefSeq and is a predicted model, not a curated record. Lineage: Eukaryota; Metazoa; Chordata; Leptocardii; Amphioxiformes; Branchiostomatidae.
UGUUCCGGAGGUAUGAAUGCGACAUAUCUGGAAGUAAAAUUCAACCAAAAGAAAUGGCAGCCAUAAACAUCUAUUUUUAAAAAUUCAAGACCGUUUUGCCGUCAAUGCCACCGCCCCAAUUCUACGUUUGUAGCAAACUCGACGUUUCUAGCGCAUUAAAUGGGUGUCGACAGUUUCGGAACAGCCGCACGUGACCCACGCGCCGGGCCCUGACCAAUGGCAACGAAGGUCCGGUGGCGCCAAAGUUUCCGCGACCCAGCCAAUCAGAUUGCGCUGCUGAGUGACAUCAUGCAUAUAUUACUAGGCCGCGAGGAGCGCGAUCAUCUUCUGUCAUAAUUUCAUCAACAGCAACAGUUUCGACUUCUCUCACACGCUCUACUCGAUUUUUCUUCUCCAUCUAGAUGCCAAAGAAGAAAGCCAUGCCGGCGCCCGCGUCCAGGACCCCGACUGCACAAGAAACCGCCCUGGAGACGCAGGCGAUCCUCCAGCUUCGCAGUAUCGGGAACGGCUUGGGCUAUCAGCGGCUCAGCGCCAGGGUCGUGACGGCGUUCAGACAAUACCGCUACGUAGUCACAAACAUGCAGAGGCGCAACCGGGUGUACCGUGCCCUCAGUGGCCU